AACUUCACCUAACACGCGUAAAAAAAAAAAGCUUUAACAAGACUGGUGAACUAUCUACUAGCUGUUUGUUUUGUAAAUGUAAUCAUGCAUGCAGCCUAGUGUCUUCUUCACAUGCUCCCUUUGAGCCACAGGUUGAGUGUAGUUUCAAAGGAGUCCCAAAAAACACCAACUCCCAAUUUGUCAUUCUGCCUCUCCCUCCAUCCCUCUCACAAACUCCCCCUCUCCUCCUCCCAGCUAAUCAGAGGUGCUCCAAGCGGCCCAGCGUCCCUAAGUCCCUCCUCCGCAGCCAAUCGGAGCGACCGCUAGAGGCUGUACGUCACCAGAGCUGCGUGUGAUUGGCCGAGAGGCACGGGGUCUGCAGGCCAAUGACCGAGUGAUGUGGUGAGGUCAUUAUGCUUGUUGCCAUCAGCUUGGCCAAACAGGAAGAGUGAAACCCCAGAGAAUUUGGUCCCCACCAGGACUUGAACCGCCAACACACGUCCUUACAGACUGAGCUACUGCCGCCCUACAACUGUUAUCUCAAAGACACUUUACAAAGAGCAGAUAAUGAAUCCUUAUUACUGAGGAGGCUGCACUGCCGGCUCACUGAACCACGAGGACAAUCCGGGGCCAGAAAUACACUCACACGCCCGCUGCUGCUGC
Molecule: long non-coding RNA, 642 nt
Organism: Labrus mixtus (cuckoo wrasse)
Lineage: Eukaryota; Metazoa; Chordata; Actinopteri; Labriformes; Labridae
Exons: 3
Source: RefSeq, a predicted model, not a curated record